Columba livia (rock pigeon) is the source of this 6578-nucleotide long non-coding RNA. RefSeq lists it as uncharacterized. The record is from RefSeq and is a predicted model, not a curated record. NCBI's taxonomy places the organism in Eukaryota, Metazoa, Chordata, Aves, Columbiformes, Columbidae. The transcript has 2 exons.
GGGAGGGGGGCUGCGCCAAUCGGCGGCGGCGGAGGUGGGGGGGGACGGCCAGGGGGGGAACGGCUGAUGUCACCGGGGCCGGUCCGGCUCGAUGGGGCGGGAGGACGGGGGGGUCGACGGCCGGCAGCGGCGCUGGGAGCCCGGCGGGGGGGCGCGGUAGGGGGGAGGGACUUUUGUCAAAUCCAUAAUAAAAUGUAACAAUGACAGCGCCGGGAACAGCUGUUGGGAGGGCGGGACGGGACGGGGACGGGACGAAACAGGGGCCCGACGCCGCAAAGCCCUGGGGGAGGCCUCGCUGCCCAGCUCCUGCCAGCACGUCGGUGUUUCCCCGUGUCCCGUCCCGUCCCGCCCCGCCGGGAAGCGCUCAGCCCCGGCCCCGCCACACGUACCGGGCAGCCGGCGCGCUUUCCCCGGCGGGUGCCCCCUCCUGCCCCCAGUCCGGUCGUCAUCUCCCCCUUAUGUGCUGCAAAAGGAGGGGAAGAAAAAAGUUAUUUCGGUCACCCCAUUCCCCACGAGUGAAUUUCUCCGCGGAAGUCGCCGGGCGGUGCCGGACAGCGCCGGUCUCAGCAGGGUCUCUUGGCUCCGGCCCUGCAGCGCCCGGGAGAAGACGACAGAAGAGCCCGCAAAUCCUACCCCCAAAUAACCUGCAGCAAGACGGGAGCAGGAGAAGGGAGAGAAAGAAAGAAAAAAGACAUCAACAAAAAAAUACAUUUUAAAAAAUUGACUUUCGGAAAUGCCCACCGCCACCCUAUGCGCCGCGCCCGGUUCCCCGACGACCCCCCUUGCCCCGACAGUUCCGUGCAACAGGGUCGGGGCUUUCUCCCACUGGGGUAAAUCCCUCCGAUACGCCCCCCCCCCCCCGACCUCGUUGCCUUUGUUGUAUUAUUUUUACACCCGUGUGUUUCCCAGCUGGCCCGGCAAGCCUCAACCAUCCGUUAAAUAUGUAUUUAAAACGUUAAGAAGUGAAGCGUGGAAAUGUGUUUCCCAACGGUUACGGAGAUGAUCCGUAACGGGUCAAUUAGGAAAAUCUGUCCCAGCGACAGCCGGGCUCACCGCCGCCCGCCGGCCGGCGUGUGUCCCGCUGCCACCCGGGCGGCCCCCGGCCUGGCCACCAGGGACUUGCUCCUAGCUCCCCCCCGCCCCCGGCCGGCCGGGCAGAGCGGCCGCCCCGGUUCUCCUUUUCCGCACCUGCUUGCGGGGCUGCGGAGUCCGUCCGGGGGGAGGCGGGUGCGACAUCCCUUCCCUCGGGCGGAUAGAGGGGUAAGGCGGGGGAAACUGGGGCUGAGCCCUGGAGGUGAGCAGCGGGACGGGGAGGCAGUGGGGGGACACGUCUGUGCAAACUUUGCAUUUAUUUCGUGGUCGGGAAGCAGUGAGGCGGCAGCGGGAAGCCUGCCUCUGCCUUUUGACUGAUGGCUCUAUACGGCGCAUUGUUGGAACCGCAUAAAACAGGGCAACAACGAGCACAACUAAUUAAGCCCCGGCGCCUUUCCCCCGGCCGCCGGCUCCUGGUAGGGCCCGGCCCUGGGAGAGGGAACGGGCACCGGCCGGGCCAGGCGGGGCUGCGGGGCGGGAGCAGUCGCCCCCGGGCUGCGAUGCUGUGUCGGAAACGAAGAAAACGCCGGCAUCGCUUGUCUCCCCUCCGCCUCCCAGGGCUCGAGAGGAAACCCCACGCCACCGCCUCCAAGGAGAAAACAAGAUCUGUGUCCUUAACGGGGGAGCAAUUUAUUUGAUUAUCACUGUGUGUCUGUCUGUCGGGACGUGAACUCUGUCCCACCUGCGCAGCCUGCGGGGCUCCUUGCACCGGCCGGCAUGGAGUUUGUGCAGGGCCAGGACCGGAGCCGUCCGAGGCGGUAGCGGCGGGGCGGUGCUUCUCUGCCGUCCUCGUCAGAAGAAGAGGGGUUGCAAGAAGGAAGGAGGGUGAUCUGUGAAAUGUUAAAUUAAAUGUCGCACAUCCCCUACUCGAUACAGUAAGGCUCAGUAUUGCAAAAAACCUCUUAUCGGCGCGUCCCGGGAAGGUGGCUCCAAAGGGUUCCCAGAGAAGCCCUUCACCCCAACUUGCUUUUGACACUAAAAUGUGGAGCAGAACCUAUUUUCUUACCUAUGAAUAUUUUUUUCUUUUCUUAAAUCUCGACUGUAGGCAACUAAGACAUGAAUGAAGGCAAUCAGGGAACGUGAUGAAGUGAUAACUUAAUAAAAACCAGACUGUUGCUUUCAUGUUGAAAAUCACUUGGAACGUCAUUAAGUUAUUGUUUGAGAUUGUUAUUGCCUAUAUUCCCUCAAGGCCUGCGGCCCAGGGUCCUUUCUUCAUGGAUACCACACAGCUACACUGGAAGUGUCCCUGCCUGGCUCUAAGGAAUCUGAGGCAUCUGAAGGAUGAAGAGCUUGUGUGACCACAGUUCCUUGAGGACUGGCAGCUGAAAACAGUUUUAAUGAUGCCUUGGAAGCUCUAAGGCCUGAUCUCCAGUGCUGUCUGCAUCCCAUCUGUUAGCAGUGCUGCAGGCUCAAAAUUGGGCUUUGCAGCUCCAGAGCCUUUUAAACUUUUUGGUUGAGAGUGGGGUCUGCAGGGAGUCCACUGAGGUCACAGCUGCCCCCUCCCUGUGCACACCAAGAGCACAAAUCUCAGAACCUGACACUGAGGACAUGAGGAUGUGGGGAUUGCCUUCAAGCUCUCUGCCCACUGCUAAAGGUAUGAGGGGAGUCUCAGGGCGGGGAAUAAUAUCUUGACGGUUCAAGUUUGUGCCCCUCCCCUUCCCCCGUCCCCCCCUUUUCUUUCUGGAUGUAUCUGAAUCAGAUAUAAAUUUAUUUUUUGCUGUUGUUCUGGGCUUACAAAUGAAGUCUAGCCUGUGGGCUUUGGUGCCAUUCUACCUUCCCAACUAACAUAUUUGAUACCUGUGAUCUCCAAGAAAGGGACCCAAAUUAAUUUUUAUUCUGGUGGGAUUAUUUUUUUUCCCCUGGUCCUAGAUUUGUUUUUGUUAACACUUGUUUGAUUGAAAUGUUGGAGGCACAUGCUCUUUGCCAAAAACUCAGCAUGUCUUCCCAUUCAAUCAGAGACUGGAAAAGCUUCUAAUCUUCACAGGAGUCACCCAGAGGGAAGUCUCAGAAAUACCAGAGCUGAUGUUUGUGAUAUUUUCAGGAUUAAAUAUAUGCAGGAAAUAGGCCACCUCCUAUUCUCAUCUAGCAGAAAAAACCCUCUUUAUUUAUAAACUUUUGUCACUUAUGAGCCUGAUGUCAUCUAUAAGAAAAUAAUUAGAUUAAUAUUUAAAACCCAGAAUAGAUUCUGUGUGUUAGAUCUUUAGGGCUCAGAUGUCCCUCUCCUCAAAUGUGGAUGUUUACUCCAACAGGACAAGUCUCACACAUGAGAUUAACAGGGACUGACUUUCUCUGACUGUAAGAUGUUACCAAAACCACUUCAUCUAGACUCUUUGGUAUAGGUGUAAGACAUACAAGAUUUCUGACCAUCAUUUGUUGUGUUUAAUGCAAGAUACCAUACUUUUUACAAGAUAUGGUAUUACUUCGUUUAAUAAACUUUAAGGAUGCAACUGAUAACUUGACACAACUAUUGUAUUGCCAUAAUGAAAAGCAACGCCUAGAGCUUAUAAAACACCAUGAUAGCUAUUUCAUUUUAACAGCUACUAUGUCUUACCAACAAUUUCACUUCUCAUUAACAAUAUAAUCUACUAUGGGCAAAUGAGGAGAAAGAGGCAGAAACUCCAAGAAAGCACUGUGCUGGCAGGCCCAUGUGCUGCCCCACUCGCAGCAGAGGUGCCUAGGCUCAGAGGCAGGAGCAUGUCUGCUGCCGGGACCUCCUGUCCUGGGCAUCCUGGGCAGGCAUCCAUUGACUGCCAUGUCAUGUCAGUCUUCGGGCUCUUCUCAGGACUGUGGUGAUGCUGAGGAUCUUCUUGUGCUGGUAGUAAAGAAAUACCUGUGUGACAUAAUUUCUAUGUGGCUGGUGGAGCAUUUCCAGUCUGCAGAGGAGUGGGAGCUCUACAGAAAUGUCACCUCACUAACCAGAGGUCCACUGUGCAUCACGCCUUUCCUCAGACUCAGAGGUGAAAACCUGCCAGCCUCAGCUGGUAGUCCCAGUACCAGCCUGUUACAGAAGAGAUACAAUGCUAGUAAAAAAUCCCAGAAUCACAGAAUGGUUGGGGUUGGAAGGGACUUCUGGAGAUCAUCUGGUUCAACCCACAUGCUAAAGCAGGUUCACCCAGAGCAGAUUGCACAGGAAUGUGUCCAUAUGGGUUUUGAAUGUCUCCAGAGAAGCAGAUUCCACAACCUCUCUGGGCAGCCUGUUCCAGUGCUCUGGCACCCUCAAAGUAAAGUUUUUCCUCGUAAUCAGAUGGAACCUCCUGUGCUUCAGCCUGUUUCUGUUGUCCCUCAUCCUAUUGUUGGGCACCACUGAAAGGAGGCUGGUCCCAUUCUCUUGACACCCGCCCUUGAGAUAUUUAUAAACAUUUACGAGAACCCCUCUUAGCCUUUUCUAGGCUGAACAGACCCAGCUCUCUCAGUCUCUCCUCAUAAGAAAGAUGCUCCAGACCCAUAAUUAUCUUUGUAGUCCUCUGCUGGGCUCUUCUAGUAAUUCUUUGUCCUUCUUAAGCUGGGGAUGUGUUUAACUUCCCUUGGGCUUGAAGCUGUCCCUCAUGUGCAAAUCCUUCCAAAGUGAGCUCCUGUGAUGGGGAAGGAAUGAUGGGAACAUACGAGAGAAGCAAACCGAUGCAACUGCUUUUAAAUGGGCAGAGGCAAGGAAACAGAUCCAGAGAAGGAUCUACCAAUCUAUGCAGAUCUUUGCCCAGCCACAUGCAGAUUUCUGUCUCACAGGUGACAGAACUGGGGACCCCUCUGAACUGGGGGUUUUGCUUUGCACUGGCCAAGCUGGACACCAACAGGACUGAAAAAACACCCAUGUGUUCAGAUCGGUGAGCUGGUCCAAACUGCCUUCAUCCCCUGGUCUCAGCAGCAGGGCUUGAGGGUGGGAAAGAAAUAUAUGUGUUAUAUACCCUGUUUCGCUGACAAUAAGACCUACUACAAAAAUAAGCCCUAGCAUGAUUUUUCAGGAUUUUGAGUGUGCUCAAAAUUGAAGCCCCACUCCAAAAAUAAGCCCUAGUUAAAGUUCAUUAAAAAAGUAAGCAGCUUUUGGAGCAAAAAUUAAUAUAAGACCCUGACUUAUUUUAAGGAAAACAGGGUAGAUGGAGGGGCAAAGAAAGCCCAAGCACAACUGAGUGUAUCUCCUCUGCAAAAAAAUGGAGUGUCUUUUUCAAGGCUGAAUUUAUUUUACAAAAUUGUAUUUUACUAUCAUUUUUUUCAGGAAAUCUGCAUAUAACACAACAAGGACUUUCAGUUCUCAUUUUGAGUUUCCUGGGCAGCAUUUUACACAUUUUGCCAUUUGUCUGUAUGUGGCACUUUUAUACUACCUUUCAUCUCUUCUCGACUUUCCAUUUCUCUAUUUUGACUGAGAGGUCUUUAGAAAUAAGGGAGUCCUAGCAGAGUUUUAAUGAUGAGCAGAAGAUGAAAACGUGGGUAUGUUUUGCUUCCCACGUGAAUACCCACUAGAUAAAAAAUCGUCCUCAGGUUAUUCUCUUGUCCUGUCCCUACCCUGUGCUCAGGAGAAAAAUGUUUUAAAAAGCCUGAUUGCUAAUAGGUUACUGCAUCUGCCUGGCUGAGCCCCAAGGAUUUUGUUGCUGUGUACUCAUGAUGGAAAUGUUUCCCCGUCUGAAGGUGUCAGUGCCCUUCAGAAUGGGUUUCACACAGUGGAAACAAUGAUUGGGUUCAUGCUGUACCACUUGCUGGUCAUGAGCAUUUCCCUGCCAGAAUUAUGGGAAACCCUUGAUCCUUCGGAUGGAGAAGUUCUUAGCCAGUCUGUUCUCUAACCUGGAAAAAAAAAAAAAAAGAAAAAAAAUUAAAAAAGGCUCAGAUGCAAAAGUCCACAUUAGCAAUUUGGUGAGAUUUCUCCUUAAUAUGUUGAGAGUUUUGGGGGUUUGUCGCCUUCUCGUGUUGUACUGGGACUUGCAUUAAUGGAGUAACAGCUGAACUGAGCGUUUGGAAUGAACAUAUCAAAGCCCUGAGUCUGUACAACACCAUCUCUCAUCGCCCAUGAUGUCAAAGGUUGCGGCGAACAUCUCCUUCGCUUUCUGGGUGGCAUUGUUCAGGAGAGUGGCCCCAGCAGAUGGCCCAAAAAACACACCUCGGCCAAGCAAAGAGGGACCACAUGUGACGAACCAUAGAUGUCUCAUUAGCAAAUGGAGAAAAAAAGCAAGGAUGAGAAAAAAAGAUAAAAAGAAUACACAAAGACAUUUACAUAUUUACAUUGUUUCUCCCUCAUUUCCAAUUCUCCUUUUGCUGAAGUGUCAGUGGGCUCGCUUUUCUCCUUCUGUUUGUAUGUUUACUUGUGCUAAAUAGAUUAUGAUAAUCAGGCACAUAAAUGCAUGCAACUGUUAUUAUGGCAUUUUAAUCACAGAGUUUUUCACUGGAAGCCUUCAUUAGAAUUCUCAUAAUCUCACUUGUUAGUGUAACAAACAGUAAUAAAUGCCAAGGAACUGGGAUUAAGUCAGAGACAUUCAGACAUUAAAGGAGGAAUAUGGAAA